This 25-nucleotide microRNA is filed under the name Bombyx mori (domestic silkworm). RNAcentral describes it as "bmo-miR-3213-5p". The record is from miRBase by way of RNAcentral. Lineage: Eukaryota; Metazoa; Arthropoda; Insecta; Lepidoptera; Bombycidae.
UACUACUUUACAGGGAAUGCUCAGC